Molecule: ribosomal RNA, 494 nt
Filed under: uncultured bacterium
Lineage: Bacteria
Description: partial 16S ribosomal RNA
Rfam family: Bacterial small subunit ribosomal RNA
Source: RNAcentral
GACGAACGCUGGCGGCGUGCUUAACACAUGCAAGUCGAACGGAAAGGCCUGCUUUCCCUUGUGGAUUGCGGGUACUCGAGUGGCGAACGGGUGAGUAACACGUGAGUGAUCUGCCCCCAACUUGGGUAUAAGCCUGGGAAACUGGGUCUAAUUCCCGAUAGGACUGCAGGGUGGUGCCUGUGGUGGAAAUCGAUUUUCUAGUGGUUGGGGAUGAGCUCGCGGCCUAUCAGCUUGUUGGUGGGGUAAUGGCCUACCAAGGCGGCGACGGGUAGCCGGCCUGAGAGGGUGGACGGCCACAUUGGGACUGAGAUACGGCCCAGACUCCUACGGGAGGCAGCAGUGGGGAAUAUUGCACAAUGGGCGGAAGCCUGAUGCAGCGACGCCGCGUGGGGGAUGACGGCCUUCGGGUUGUAAACUCCUUUCGACCGCGAGGAAGCCACCUGGUUGGAAGGGUGGUGACGGUAGUGGUAGAAGAAGCACCGGCUAACUACGUG